GAUGAACGCUGGCGGCGUGCCUAAUACAUGCAAGUCGAGCGAACAGAUGAGGAGCUUGCUCCUCUGACGUUAGCGGCGGACGGGUGAGUAACACGUGGAUAACCUACCUAUAAGACUGGGAUAACUUCGGGAAACCGGAGCUAAUACCGGAUAAUAUAUUGAACCGCAUGGUUCAAUAGUGAAAGACGGUUUUGCUGCCACUUAUAGAUGGAUCCGCGCCGCAUUAGCUAGUUGGUAAGGUAACGGCUUACCAAGGCGACGAUGCGUAGCCGACCUGAGAGGGUGAUCGGCCACACUGGAACUGAGAUACGGUCCAGACUCCUACGGGAGGCAGCAGUAGGGAAUCUUCCGCAAUGGGCGAAAGCUUGACGGAGCAACGCCGCGUGAGUGAUGAAGGUCUUCGGAUCGUAAAACUCUGUUAUUAGGGAAGAACAAAUGUGUAAGUAACUAUGCACGUCUUGACGGUACCUAAUCAGAAAGCCACGGCUAACUACGUG
Molecule: ribosomal RNA, 497 nt
Filed under: uncultured bacterium
Lineage: Bacteria
Description: partial 16S ribosomal RNA
Rfam family: Bacterial small subunit ribosomal RNA
Source: RNAcentral